UACCCCGUGGUGUAAUCGGUAACACAACGGAUUUUGGUUCCGUUUUUCUAGGUUCGAGUCCUAGCGGGGUAGCCA
This 75-nucleotide transfer RNA is filed under the name Verrucomicrobiota bacterium. RNAcentral describes it as "tRNA-Gln". It matches the Rfam family "tRNA". From Rfam's summary of the family: Transfer RNA (tRNA) molecules are approximately 80 nucleotides in length. Their secondary structure includes four short double-helical elements and three loops (D, anti-codon, and T loops). Lineage: Bacteria; Pseudomonadati; Verrucomicrobiota. The record is from RNAcentral. RNAcentral also lists the same sequence under 1 other name.